AUUGAACGCUGGCGGCAUGCUUUACACAUGCCAGUCGAACGGUAACAGGCCGCAAGGUGCUGACGAGUGGCGAACGGGUGAGUAAUGCAUCGGAACGUGCCCAGUCGUGGGGGAUAACUACUCGAAAGAGUAGCUAAUACCGCAUACGAUCUAUGGAUGAAAGCGGGGGACCGUAAGGCCUCGCGCGAUUGGAGCGGCCGAUGUCAGAUUAGGUAGUUGGUGGGGUAAAGGCUCACCAAGCCAACGAUCUGUAGCUGGUCUGAGAGGACGACCAGCCACACUGGGACUGAGCCACGGCCCAGACUCCUACGGGAGGCAGCAGUGGGGAAUUUUGGACAAUGGGCGCAAGCCUGAUCCAGCAAUGCCGCGUGCAGGAAGAAGGCCUUCGGGUUGUAAACUGCUUUUGUACGGAACGAAACGGCUCUGGUUAAUACCCGGGGCUAAUGACGGUACCGUAAGAAUAAGCACCGGCUAACUACGUG
Molecule: ribosomal RNA, 482 nt
Filed under: uncultured bacterium
Lineage: Bacteria
Description: partial 16S ribosomal RNA
Rfam family: Bacterial small subunit ribosomal RNA
Source: RNAcentral